Molecule: long non-coding RNA, 360 nt
Organism: Ipomoea nil (Japanese morning glory)
Lineage: Eukaryota; Viridiplantae; Streptophyta; Magnoliopsida; Solanales; Convolvulaceae
Exons: 2
Source: RefSeq, a predicted model, not a curated record
AGUGAUGAUGGUCACAACAAACUAACUAAUAUUACAAAUAAUAUUGUUUAUCAAGAAAUCUUGGACUACAUUUCUCAAACAACUGUUGCACCAGACAAAACUAACACCAUGUCCGACGUUUAUUGAUGAUCUCUGGAGAACAAUAUGUGAAAGCUGUUGAAUUGAGACAAUUGAAUUCAAGUGAUAUGUAUAUCUAGAUUUGACAAAUCCUCUAUGGUUCAUUAAAUUAGGGUGACAUGUUAUUCAAAAUGAGACCAGGUAAUUUCUAAAUUCAAUUCACUCUUUUUUCUUGUUUUCAAAUUUUUACUAUUAAGUUUCCUAGCUUAUUAAUUGAGGAAUAGUCCAAUUUUUAAUCAUCAA